RNAcentral lists this long non-coding RNA (260 nucleotides) under Brassica rapa (field mustard). Its description in RNAcentral is "long non-coding RNA (BRAP_LNC004287)". The record is from RNAcentral. Lineage: Eukaryota; Viridiplantae; Streptophyta; Magnoliopsida; Brassicales; Brassicaceae.
UUGUCCCCAAAGUGUUGGAUUGAUACAUAUCUUACAUGGUUUUCACAAGAUUUUGCAUGUUUUCUACUCAGAUGACAGUAAUUCAACUCGCUCAAAGCAGAUAUUAUUACAUAUAUAUUCAACAUAGAGUACACAAUUUUACCCCCCCAAAAAAAACAUAGAGUACACAAGUAAAGUCAACGACUUUUUUAAGGUGUUGUGUCAGCCUUUGCAUUGGUUGGAACGCUGGGAUCGUGUCUGGUGUUUGCAGAUGGAUCACC